CAGCACCUCAAGUGGUCAGGAUGAUUAUUGGGCCUAAAGCAUCCGUAGCCGGCGCUGUAAGUUUUCGGCUAAAUCUGUACGCUCAACGUACAGGCUGCCGGGAAUACUGCAGCGCUAGGGAGUGGGAGAGGUAGACGGUACUCGGUAGGAGGGGGUAAAAUCCUUUGAUCUAUUGAUGACCACCUGUGGCGAAGGCGGUCUACCAGAACACGUCCGACGGUGAGGGAUGAAAGCUGGGGGAGCGAACCGGAUUAGAUACCCGAGUAGUCC
This 270-nucleotide ribosomal RNA is filed under the name uncultured archaeon. RNAcentral's name for it is "partial 16S ribosomal RNA". It matches the Rfam family "Archaeal small subunit ribosomal RNA", at positions 477 to 747 of the family's 1478-position model. The record is from RNAcentral.